RNAcentral lists this ribosomal RNA (253 nucleotides) under uncultured bacterium. RNAcentral describes it as "partial 16S ribosomal RNA". It matches the Rfam family "Bacterial small subunit ribosomal RNA", at positions 524 to 776 of the family's 1533-position model. The record is from RNAcentral.
UACGUAGGUGACCAGCGUUGUCCGGAUUUACUGGGCGUAAAGAGCGCGCAGGCGGUCGUUCAAGUCGAGUGUGAAAGCCCCCGGCUCAACUGGGGAGGGUCAUUCGAUACUGAUCGACUGGAAGGCAGGAGAGGGAAGCGGAAUUCCCGGUGUAGUGGUGAAAUGCGCAGAUAUCAGGAGGAACACCGGUGGCGAAGGCGGUUCUCUGGGCAUGUCCUGACGCUGAGGAGCGAAAGUGUGGGGAGCGAACAGG